GGCAGAGGUUGCAGUGAGCUGAAAUUGUGCCAUUGCACUUCAGCCUGGGCGACCAGGGUGAAACUCUAUCUCAAAAAAAAGAAAAAAAAAAGAAUUAUUACAGUUUGUCUCAGAGAUGUUUUGCAGGACAACCCGUGUAGAUGGACACCUGCACCCUCCUGGCACCCUCUGAAAGAGCCCUGCCCCUCCCUCUGCCCUGUCCAAUCUUCCUUCCCUUUUCCCACUUGCCCAACCCCAGUUGAUGUCUGUUAAGAUGCAGCCCUGGCUAUUUUUGGAGGAAAGGCAAAGAACAUUUAUCAAACUCUUUACAUGUGCCAGACAUGGUCCCAGAGCUUUAGAUACAUUUUUUCAUUGAGAGGUUAUAGCACCCCUCCACACCAAGAGGUGUGGUAUUAUUUUAUCUUUCCCAUUUUACAGAUGAGCAAACUGAGACUUGAGGAGUGGAUAGUGACUUGUUGACCAGUGGCCUGGCUGCAUGAUCCAGGCACAGUUGGAUCUAGGCCUGGCUGCAUGACCGCAGGCACAGCUGUUGGAGGUUGAAGCAGCUGGCAGCAGACAGGCCAGAGGGUAUUUGUGUGUGUGUGCGCAGGUGCACACAUAUGUGGAUGUGCACUCCUGUGUAUACACGCAUGGGGCAGGGCUGGGGUUGGAGGUGCUGCAGGAACAGGUGUUGGGGCUGAGUGUGGAGCUCUCGGGAGGUGGCACUGAGGAGUCGGGCAGUUGUCCUGCACGUGGCAAUUUUCUGUAGGAAAGUGUGUGGUCAGGAAUGUAUUCUGGAAGCCUUUCCUGGAGAGGAGUUUGGAGGAUGGCUUUUGGGAUGGAGGAGUAGAGGGGUGGACCAGAGGAAGGAUCCCAGAGGUUGACACUAACUCCUCAGGAAAAUCCCUGCCUCUUCUACUAUCGAGACUGAUGUAUGUUUCUGAUUCUGCUAACCAACUGGACACGUGUUUUUGAUGAUACAACAUGAAGCAGAAAUGGGAAGAUGAUCUGAAAUUACUUCUUAAAUCAGAUGACUGGGAUGAAUUCGGAAGAGAGCCAAGGAACAUGGGAUUUUGCUUUUCCUAAGAGUGAUCUCACUUAUGGUGGUUGAGGGGGUGAUCUGUACCCCUGCACAUGUGGAUGGAGUCUAAAGAGGAGCAGAGGACAAUUGUCCCAGCUAAUACCACCCCAAGUCUUUCUCCAUUAGUGAGUGACCUGUAAUGACCCUGCAGGAGGGGACAUGUCGUGGCUGGACUCAAAGCUGUGUUCUGCUGACCAGGCAUGGAAGACCCUGGCCUUGCCCUGGUUUUAAAAUAGAGCUAUAAGAGUUUACAAAGGGAGAAUGAUACUCCAGCUUUUUAUCAGUCUACAGGGGGUUCUGUCCACUCAAAGUCUUGGAUGGGGCAUACUUUAGUGUGAGCCUCUAAAAUUUUCCUUAUAGGGGAUCAAACUGUAUCAGUGUAUAUUUUAUUUGUCUUGUGUGCGUAAGAGAAAGCCCAGCAUAGUGUAAGUUCAGAUGCUUCUUAAUAGAAAGGCCCAAGGAAGGUGGAGCUUCAGUAUUUUACUGACAAUGUAUUGGAGAUGAUUGUAGGGUCCAGGAAGGACUUUACAGAGACUCAUAGAUUUUUCGGGCAGCCAUUCCUUAAAUUCACAAAGCAUGAAAAUUGCCUAGAUCUGGGAACCUAAGAAUAGAUGUAUUAGACCUCUUUGCAGGAAACAGAAACCACUCUAGGUGUGUUAAACAGAAAAGGCUUUAAUACAGGGAAUGGAAGACCUAAAGAAACAGGCUUUAAACUGGGCUUCUGGAAUCAUUCCUGUAAGAAUAUAGAACUGGACAUUGGGAGAGCUGUAACCUCUGAGGCUGCUCCUAGGGCUGACCUGAAAGCAAGAAGCUGCUGCUGCGUCUGCUUCUGAUGGAAAAGGAGCACUCAAAACUGCCAUCUGGGGAUUAGGAAGCCAGACCAAGACACCCAGGAACUGGAGGAUGGACCCUGGGCUGUCAUUGCUGGAAAGCCCUAUGUCUCUGUGCCUACGCUGUGGCAGCAGCGGUCAGGUACUGCAGGAAGAGGGCACCCACCUCACUACUGCCUUUUAAAGGUAUCUGUUUGGUGCAGGCUAACUUUUAUCCAGACCCCUGGAUGCACGGAAGCUUUGAAAAUGCCUUCUAACUCUUCCAUCUGACAGAGGAGAGGGCAAAUGGGCCUUUCCAGAGAGCCCAGCAGAGGAGGUGACACCAACAGGUGCUGGAUGGCUAAAGUCAAUUUGUGCAAAAUUAAUUCUUCAAGAAAUGUUUGAGUCAGAAACACAUCACACUUCGGGUGGGUAAAUUGUGGAAAGCAGCCAUUUCUCCCAGUUUCAACGUGUGACACUAGCUCCUUCUGUUUCAGCUCUAUGGUACUUUGGUUUGCGGCCUAGAACAAGCCUCAGUUGCCACAGUUGUGAAAGGAGACGUGACAAGCUUGAAGGGGUGAUUUCUCUUUUAGCUCACAGUUUGGUCUUGAGCUGGGCAUGUCUUAUAAGCACUUCUGUGAAAAGCAAUUCUUUGUUCUUGGGUUUGCCAAAUUUUAGGCACACUUCACUGGGUGAUUUUCUAAGAGCUCGUGGAGAUCAAAGUGAAUUAGGAGGAAGAAAAACUUGUGGAAAGGUUGGGGAAGCACUAGAACAGUGGGCUAUUGCACAAACAGCAGUGUCUGGUAUGAGGCUGGCAUCAUAGUUUCCAGGCUCUGUUCUGUUUGCUAUCUCCAGCAAGCCUCCUUUUGCAGAUGAGAAAACUGAGGUCGGGCAGCUUUGUGACUUUGGGGAUGAUGUUUUAGAGACCCCAUGACAAUGGUAGGGCUGGGAUACAGACGCAUGUGUCCCAGUGCUCUGGCCCCAUGACGUGUGAACUCCACCCACCAUCAUAAAGGGCACUGUCUAUUUGGAAGUCCCCCGGUCCCUAGCUGGGCUCCUGGGAUGAAGAGGAGGAUAGGGAGGGACAUGGCGGGUGUAAGCUAGGGUCCUGUUCUGCCUGCUACCCUGGGCUGCAGGGAAAUGCUGGUAAAUGUUUAACAACUGACACCCUUCCCCACCAAAAAUAAAAAGCCCCAAGUUAUAGCAUUUUCCCACGUCUGUGGUGUUAAUUCUCUCCCAUCCCGAUUCUGAACUACCAAUGAGAGACUGAUAAGUGCACAUCUGGAAAGAGAUGCUCCCACUCAGCAAUAAUGAUGCUGUGGGGUGGGCACCCUGAUGUUGGUGUUCUGCUACUACACCUGUUGGCCAAACCCCCCAAUGUUUGUGAGAGAGCUAGGGCAGAGUGGCUGAUGGCUGGAGGAUUACGGAGACUAAGGGGACACAGGCUGCUUGGUGAGGGGGCUGCCCCGAAGGCAGUGAUGUCACUCUGAGGCAGGAGAGGGCUGAGGCUGCAUGUGCUGACCGGUCCCCCGAGGAAGGGCUUUAGAGGCUAUCCUGGCAAGGAGCGCUAACGACCUCCCACCCAUUGCCAGGGACCUCAGUGACCUGUCCAUUGUCACACAGCUAGCAGCCGCCGCAUUCUGAGCCUCCAGGUUCCGAGCUUGUGAACCAGCUCUCGUUCGCUCAGAGGCCUCAAGGGCGGGAUGCCUGGCAGCUCCCUUCCUACCAUGGGCCAGAGGCGGAGAAACAGGUGCUGACUGGAGCUGGGAAAUGACUCCUCCCUCGGCCCGGAUGGAGUGCUUCCCACUCCCGCACCCCACUGGAAUCCCACCCCCCUCCCUGAGACCCAGGAAGUUGCUGGAAGAAAGGAGGAGAGGACAGGAUGUCCAGGCAGGUGCAGGGAUGUCAGGGGAUGCCCCUGGAGUGUUGCAAUAGCCUCCUGGGAGUACUUUCUAAAAGCAUGGCUGAGCCAGGCCGGCAUGGGCUUGUGGGAGUAGGUGAUUCCGGGUCUCCUGCCUCCAGGGCCUGUCAUGAGGACUCCACAGAAAGUGACUCCACAACAGUGGGACUCAAUGAGCACCUUUGGGAACUUAUCCCCACCUCACCUUUAACAUUAAAAAAAAAAAUCACAUCAAAACAGAGUGGCAAACUGGUAAAAAGUACAGAUACUGGAGCCCCACUGCCUGCACCCAGGCUGCAGGAAUUUCUAGCAGUGUGAUACUCAGGACACUAGGCAACUUGCUUCUCUCCCCCACCUCAGUUUCCCCAUCUGUAAGAUGCUGAUGAUGGCGGCUGACAGUGCCCAUCUUGUAAGGUUGCCA
Molecule: long non-coding RNA, 4190 nt
Filed under: Homo sapiens (human)
Lineage: Eukaryota; Metazoa; Chordata; Mammalia; Primates; Hominidae
Description: HSALNT0026961
Source: RNAcentral